GACGAACGCUGGCGGCGUGCCUAAUACAUGCAAGUUGAGCGCUGAAGGUUGGUACUUGUACCAACUGGAUGAGCAGCGAACGGGUGAGUAACGCGUGGGGAAUCUGCCUUUGAGCGGGGGACAACAUUUGGAAACGAAUGCUAAUACCGCAUAAAAACUUUAAACACAAGUUUUAAGUUGGAAAGAUGCAAUUGCAUCACUCAAAGAUGAUCCCGCGUUGUAUUAGCUAGUUGGUGAGGUAAAGGCUCACCAAGGCGAUGAUACAUAGCCGACCUGAGAGGGUGAUCGGCCACAUUGGGACUGGGACACGGCCCAAACUCCUACGGGAGGCAGCAGUAGGGAAUCUUCGGCAAUGGACGAAAGUCUGACCGAGCAACGCCGCGUGAGUGAAGAAGGUUUUCGGAUCGUAAAACUCUGUUGGUAGAGAAGAACGUUGGUGAGAGUGGAAAGCUCACCAAGUGACGGUAACUACCCAGAAAGGGACGGCUAACUACGUG
RNAcentral lists this ribosomal RNA (497 nucleotides) under uncultured bacterium. RNAcentral's name for it is "partial 16S ribosomal RNA". It matches the Rfam family "Bacterial small subunit ribosomal RNA", at positions 28 to 507 of the family's 1533-position model. The record is from RNAcentral.